This 984-nucleotide ribosomal RNA is filed under the name Triticum aestivum (bread wheat). RNAcentral describes it as "partial small subunit ribosomal RNA". The record is from RNAcentral. Lineage: Eukaryota; Viridiplantae; Streptophyta; Magnoliopsida; Poales; Poaceae.
AUGGUGUUGGAGAUAUCCUCUGUCCUGAUGUGGCUCGUGUCAUCAUACUGGGCAUACAUGACCGCAUUCUUGCAUCUACAAGGCCGUCGUCGAAGCAAAGCCUCCCGAUGUGCAGGUAGAAUAUUGCUGAGCACCGUCAAGCGUCUCCGUCCCCAUCCAGAAAAAAGAUUGGAGUGGUCAGGAAAGGUGCAGCAGUAUAGCCUGAUGGAUGAUUGCAUCCAGGCCAUGGCACAACGACCUUUCAACUGGCUACUACCACAGAUGAUGAAGCAAGGCUACACCAGCAAGCAUGUCGUCGUCUCUCCAGAGGUAAAGAAAGUGCUGCUUCAUAAACUCUGUGAAAUAGCCACCAGUCCAGAUAGUAUAGAUAAGCUGGCAUUUAGCGGCAGCUUCCGUGGAGAGUGGGCUGCAUCUUGGGCGGCUUCUGGAGCUAGGACUCAAACAGCUGGAAGUAGUGCAGCCCAACAGGCCCUGGCGGCCAGCAACAUCCAAGAUAUGGAUCUCGUGUCAAGUGCCUUGCUUUGGCACCUGGUGACAGAGAUAUGCUUUAUCAUGUCCGAGUACGACGGCGACAAAAAUGACAAACCUCCUAACUGCAUGUUCAGAACCUGCAGCCAGCAACUGUCCAACUACGUGAUGUAUCUUGUCGCCCAGUGCAAGGUGAUGCUCGAUAGCGACGGACACAACACGCUACAGGAAUGUCGAAGUGUGUUGAGCUUGAGCCAGCAAAUUCAUCACCGAAGCGCCGCCGUCGGCAAUAAUAAGAGGAAGGGGUUGGUGAUGGGCAUCCAAGACCCCGUAUUUCGCACCGUUUUUUCAUCUGAUGAUACGGUAGCUGGCCAUUUGAUCAUUGUGUUGGACGAGUUGCUUGCACCUGAAUCUGUAAUAUCAGCAGCUCACAGGUGGGAGCUGAUUGCGAUGGUAUGGGUGGAGAUGGUUUGCUACAUUGCACGCAACUGUGGUUCUUCCACGCCAAGCAGCUAA